GACGAACGCUGGCGGCGUGCUUAACACAUGCAAGUCGAACGGAAACGCACUUUUGGGGUUCCUCGAGUGGCGAACGGGUGAGUAACACGUGAGUAACCUGCCCUUGACACCGGGAUAACUUCAGGAAACUAGGGCUAAUACCGCUUAGGCAUCCUUGCAGCUUGGUGGGGGUUGGAAAGCUUCUGGGGGCUUGCAUGGACUCGCGGGUUAUCGGCUUGUUGGUGGGGUAGUGGGUUACCAAGGCUUUGACGGGUAGCUGGACAGAGGGGGCGAGCGGCCACAUUGAGUCUGAGAGACGGCCCAGGCUCCUACGGGAGGAAGCAGGGGGGAAUAUUGCUCCAGGGGCAGAGGGCUGAUGCAGAGAGCCCGCGGGCGGGAUAGCGGCCUUCGGGUUGUAAAACGCUUUCAGCAGGAGAGAAGCUUGUGGUGACGGUACCUGCAGAAGAAGCACCGGCUAACUACGUG
This 465-nucleotide ribosomal RNA is filed under the name uncultured bacterium. RNAcentral describes it as "partial 16S ribosomal RNA". It matches the Rfam family "Bacterial small subunit ribosomal RNA", at positions 28 to 507 of the family's 1533-position model. The record is from RNAcentral.